AAUGGCGGGACUCCAUGGAUCUUUACAAAGUUUGAGAAUGGUAAUUUACAUGGAAAAGGGAUACAUUGAAUAUAAUGAUCACUACUCUCCCUACCAACUUUGAAAUCCACUAUGCUCUUGCCUUUGGUUAAGAAUGACGAACCAGAACUUAAAUGACUAUUCCAUACUGCUUCAAAGAUCAGGACCAGCCGAGUCAGUUACUUGCCAUAAUCCCUAAUUUU
RNAcentral lists this long non-coding RNA (221 nucleotides) under Lathyrus oleraceus (garden pea). Its description in RNAcentral is "Pisum sativum (pea) long non-coding RNA (PSAT_LNC014845)". Lineage: Eukaryota; Viridiplantae; Streptophyta; Magnoliopsida; Fabales; Fabaceae. The record is from RNAcentral.